GUAGCAACUAAAGAGGCCAUGACCAUCA
Molecule: small RNA, 28 nt
Filed under: Bombyx mori (domestic silkworm)
Lineage: Eukaryota; Metazoa; Arthropoda; Insecta; Lepidoptera; Bombycidae
Description: ovarian small RNA-17649
Source: RNAcentral